RNAcentral lists this ribosomal RNA (315 nucleotides) under Triticum aestivum (bread wheat). Its description in RNAcentral is "partial small subunit ribosomal RNA". The record is from RNAcentral. Lineage: Eukaryota; Viridiplantae; Streptophyta; Magnoliopsida; Poales; Poaceae.
AUGGAAUCGAAAGAAUACAUGGAAAUCAGAAAUGCCCUUAUUGUGCUCAGAAAGAUUACUAGUAUAUUUCCUGUGAUUCGAAAAAGUGGUAUCAACCUCGAGAAAAGGAACAAGAGGGAUGAUCUGAAAGUACUGACAAUUGGUGUACCUGCUGCUCUCAAGAUGAACCUUCAAAAAAUUUGUCCAAUGAUGGAGUUAAAGUCUUCAAGCCUACUGCAGAACCUGAGUUUAGGAUUUCUUUUUGAAACUUUCAAACACACUUCACAACAACAACAACAACAACAACAACAACAACAACAACAACAAAGCCUUUAG